GUGGCAGGGGCGGCGGUAAUACGUAGGGAGCAAGCGUUGUUCGGAAUCAUUGGGCGUAAAGAGCGCGUAGGCGGCUUGGCAAGUCUGGUGUGAAAUCUCACAGCUCAACUGUGAAACUGCAUCAGAAACUGCCUGGCUAGAGUGCGGGAGAGGAGAGUGGAAUUCCCAGUGUAGAGGUGAAAUUCGUAGAUACUGGGAGGAACACCGGUGGCGAAGGCGGCUCUCUGGACCGCAACUGACGCUGAGGCGCGAAAGCUAGGGGAGCGAACGGGAUUAGAUACCCCGGUAGUCCUAGCCGUAAACGAUGGGCACUAGGUGUAGGGGGUAUCGACCCCUUCUGUGCCGAAGCUAACGCAUUAAGUGCCCCGCCUGGGGAGUACGGUCGCAAGACUAAAACUCAAAGGAAUUGACGGGGGCCCGCACAAGCGGUGGAGCAUGUGGUUUAAUUCGACGCAACGCGAAGAACCUUACCUGGGCUUGACAUCCCGCGACGGUAACAGAGAUGUUGCUUUCCUUCGGGACGCGGAGACAGGUGCUGCAUGGCUGUCGUCAGCUCGUGUCGUGAGAUGUUGGGUUAAGUCCCGCAACGAGCGCAACCCAUGCCCUUAGUUGCCAGCGAGUAAUGUCGGGAACUCUAGGGGAACUGCCGGUGAUAAACCGGAGGAAGGUGUGGAUGACGUCAAGUCCUCAUGGCCUUUAUGCCCAGGGCUACACACGUGCUACAAUGGCCGGUACAAAGGGUCGCAAGCCCGCGAGGGGGAGCCAAUCCCAAAAAGCCGGUCUCAGUUCGGAUUGCAGGCUGCAAUUCGCCUGCAUGAAGGUGGAAUCGCUAGUAAUCCCGGAUCAGCAUGCCGGGGUGAAUACGUUCCCGGGCCUUGUACACACCGCCCGUCACACCACGAAAGCCAGUUGUACCAGAAGUCGCUGGGCCAACCCGCAAGGGAGGCAGGUGCCGAAGGUAUGGUCGGUGAUUGGGGUGAAGUCGUAACAAGGUAACC
RNAcentral lists this ribosomal RNA (998 nucleotides) under uncultured Gram-positive bacterium. RNAcentral describes it as "bacterial SSU rRNA". It matches the Rfam family "Bacterial small subunit ribosomal RNA", at positions 505 to 1501 of the family's 1533-position model. The record is from RNAcentral.